AAGCCGCGGGGAGAUGCGAGCGAUCGUUGAUCCGCGGAUGUCCGAAUGGGGAAACCCCUCCUUAGGGAGAUCUGCGGCUGAAUCCAUAGGCUGUAGAGGCGAACCCGGGGAACUGAAACAUCUCAGUACCUGGAGGAAAAGACAUCAAGUGAGAUUCCGCGAGUAGUGGCGAGCGAAAGCGGAGCAGGCCAGUGGUCUUUGCAAGUUAAGCCAAAGUGUCUGGAAAGGCAUGCCAGAGUGGGUGAUAGCCCCGUAGGCGUAUGGCUUGUGAAGAUCCUUGAGUAGGGCGGGGCACGUGAAACCCUGUCUGAACAUGGGGGGACCACCCUCCAAGCCUAAGUACUCGUGCAUGACCGAUAGUGAACCAGUACCGUGAGGGAAAGGUGAAAAGUACCCCUGGCGGGGAGUGAAAUAGUACCUGAAACCAUGUGCCUACAAACCGUCGGAGCCUUUUGGGGUGACGGCGUGCCUUUUGAAGAAUGAGCCUGCGAGUUAUGCUUCGUGGCGAGGUUAACCUGUUGUGGGGUAGCCGUAGCGAAAGCGAGUCCGAACAGGGCGCGUGAGUGGCACGAUCAAGACCCGAAGCGAAGUGAUCUAUCCAUGGGCAGGUUGAAGCGCCGGUAAGACGGCGUGGAGGCCCGAACCCACCAGGGUUGAAAACCUGGGGGAUGAGCUGUGGGUAGGGGUGAAAGGCCAAUCAAACUCCGUGAUAGCUGGUUCUCCCCGAAAUGCAUUUAGGUGCAGCGUCACGUGUUUCUUCCCGGAGGUAGAGCUACUGGAUGGCCGAUGGGCCCCACAAGGUUACUGACGUCAGCCAAACUCCGAAUGCCGAGGUGUGAGAGUGCGGCAGUGAGACUGCGGGGGAUAAGCUUCGUAGUCGAGAGGGAAACAGCCCAGAUCACCAGCUAAGGCCCCUGAAUGACCGCUCAGUGGUGAAGGAGGUAGGAGUGCAAAGACAGCCGGGAGGUUUGCCCAGAAGCAGCCAUCCUUGAAAGAGUGCGUAAUAGCUCACUGGUCAAGUGAUUCCGCGCCGACAAUGUAGCGGGGCUCAAGCGCACCGCCGAAGCCGCGGCAGCACCACGGACACCUAACGGUGGUGGUGCUGGGUAGGGGAGCGUCAUGCGGGUGGUGAAGCGGCGGAGUGAUCCAGCCGUGGACGCCACACGAGUGAGAAUGCAGGCAUGAGUAGCGAAAGACGGGUGAGAAACCCGUCCGCCGGAUGACCAAGGGUUCCAGGGUCAAGCUAAUCUGCCCUGGGUAAGUCGGGACCUAAGGCGAGGCCGACAGGCGUAGUCGAUGGACAACGGGUUGAUAUUCCCGUACCGGCAACGUAGCGCCCAUGACGAGCCCGGUGAUGCUAACCACCCAAAGCCUCCGCUAGCGCACCUUCGGGUGUUGCGGUGGUGGUGGAGCGUGGGACCCGAUCCGGUAGUAGUCAAGCGAUGGGGUGACGCAGGUAGGUAGUCGGUCCACAGCGAUGGUUGUCUGUGGCCAAGGGUGUAGGGAUCCUCCUAGGCAAAUCCGGGGGGUGGCACUGCGAGUGCGGUCCUGAGACCUGAUGGGGACCCCGUAUGGGGGAAGUCGAUGAUCCUGUGCUGUCAAGAAAAACCUCUAGCGAGCUAUGAGCCGCCCGUACCCCAAACCGACUCAGGUGAUCAGGUAGAGAAUACCAAGGCGAUCGAGUGAACCAUGGUUAAGGAACUCGGCAAAAUGCCCCCGUAACUUCGGGAGAAGGGGGGCCCUGUCCCGUGAAACCCCUUGCGGGUUAGCGGGGUGGGGCCGCAGAGACCAGGGGGAAGCGACUGUUUACUAAAAACACAGGUCCGUGCGAAGUCGCAAGACGAUGUAUACGGACUGACUCCUGCCCGGUGCUGGAACGUUAAGGGGACCGGUUAGGCCUCACGGCCGAAGCUGAGAACUUAAGCGCCAGUAAACGGCGGUGGUAACUAUAACCAUCCUAAGGUAGCGAAAUUCCUUGUCGGGUAAGUUCCGACCUGCACGAAUGGCGUAACGACUUCUCCGCUGUCUCAACCGCGAACUCGGCGAAAUUGCACUACGAGUAAAGAUGCUCGUUACGCGCGGCAGGACGGAAAGACCCCGGGACCUUUACUAUAGCUUGGUAUUGGUGCUCGGUUCGGCUUGUGUAGGAUAGGUGGGAGACUGUGAAGUCCACACGCCAGUGUGGGUGGAGUCGACGUUGAAAUACCACUCUGAUGUGACUAGAUGUCUAACCUCGGUCCGUGAUCCGGAUCAGGGACAGUGCCUGGUGGGUAGUUUAACUGGGGCGGUUGCCUCCCAAAGGGUAACGGAGGCGCCCAAAGGUUCCCUCAGCCUGGUCGGCAACCAGGUGUUGAGUGCAAGUGCACAAGGGAGCUUGACUGUGAGACAGACAUGUCGAGCAGGGACGAAAGUCGGGACUAGUGAUCCGGCACCUACUUGUGGAAGUGGUGUCGCUCAACGGAUAAAAGGUACCCCGGGGAUAACAGGCUGAUCUUCCCCAAGAGUUCACAUCGACGGGAAGGUUUGGCACCUCGAUGUCGGCUCUUCGCCACCUGGGGCGGUAGUACGUUCCAAGGGUUGGGCUGUUCGCCCAUUAAAGCGGUACGUGAGCUGGGUUCAGAACGUCGUGAGACAGUUCGGUCCCUAUCCUCUGCGCGCGUUGGAAAUUUGAGAAGGUCUGUCCUUAGUACGAGAGGACCGGGAUGGACGAACCUCUGGUGUGCCAGUUGUCCCGCCAGGGGCACGGCUGGUUGGCUACGUUCGGAAGGGAUAACCGCUGAAGGCAUCUAAGCGGGAAGCCCGUUCCAAGAUGAGGUCUCCCACCCCACGAGGGUUAAGGCCCCCACCAGACCAGUGGGUUGA
RNAcentral lists this ribosomal RNA (2862 nucleotides) under Selaginella bryopteris. RNAcentral describes it as "bacterial LSU rRNA". It matches the Rfam family "Bacterial large subunit ribosomal RNA". Lineage: Eukaryota; Viridiplantae; Streptophyta; Lycopodiopsida; Selaginellales; Selaginellaceae. The record is from RNAcentral.